Ipomoea triloba (trilobed morning glory) is the source of this 2982-nucleotide RNA transcript. It is a transcript of the gene named putative late blight resistance protein homolog R1A-4, with no coding region annotated. Lineage: Eukaryota; Viridiplantae; Streptophyta; Magnoliopsida; Solanales; Convolvulaceae. The record is from RefSeq and is a predicted model, not a curated record. The transcript is spliced from 2 exons.
GCCGGCCGGCCAAGUAAUAUACUUAGCAGCUUGGCCAUCAUCAAUAAUGGAGAUCUGAUCUAGAUCGAAAAAUAACAAGUAAGAAACACGUACUGGGAGAGCUGAACUGAGCUUCAUUCUUCAAUUACUCUCCCUUCAUCUCAAUAGCCACGAAAACAACUUCCACUACUUCUCGUAAUCAGGGUGCUUCUGCUGCGCGCAAUGCCUCAACAAGUGUUCAUGGUGGGUAACAACAAUGCAUUGGAAGAAAUUAAGGACAAGCUCACCAACUCGUCAAAAGAAAGAGAAGUCAUCUCCAUCACAGGAAUGGGAGGUAUUGGCAAGACGACUUUGACAGAAAAGGUUUAUGAAGAUAAAGACAUCAAGCGUCAUUUUGAUAUUCAAGCAUGGAUUACUGUGUCUCAAUCUUACUCCUUGGAUGAUUUGCUCCGAGUGCUCCUCCAAUCAAUUGACGCUUCUUCUCCAACAGAAGAACACUGUGCAGGAACCUUCGAACUCAAGGAUAAAGUUCGCAAAUUGUUGCUGGGCAAGAGGUAUCUAAUUGCAAUAGAUGAUGUAUGGAGUACACAAGUUUGGGAUGAUUUGAAGAUAUGCUUCCCAUCAGAAAAGAGAAAUGGGAGUCGAGUAUUGUUGACAACUCGACUCACAAAUGUGGCUACUCAUGCUAGUUCUGGUGGUCUCCCAUUUAGCAUGCCUACCCUAAGCAAAGAAGAAAGUUGGGAUCUAUUUUGCAAAAAAGUAUUUGCAAAAGAAUCUUGUCCUCCUUCUAUUGAAUUUGAGAAAAUUGGGAGAGAUAUUGUGAUGAAAUGCAAAGGAUUACCACUCUCAAUUAUGGUGAUUGCUGGGAUUCUAUCCAAGGCUGAAAUGAAGGUGGAGGAUUGGGAAAAUGUUGCCAGAGAUGUAGCAUUAUCAUCAACUUUAUAUGAGGAGCAAAAUUGUGAGAAAAUACUUUUGUUGAGUUACAAUCACUUGCCUGAAAAUUUGAAGACUUGCUUCUUAUAUUUAGGAGUAUUUCCAGAAGAUUAUAAGAUUCCAGCUCAAAGAUUAGUUACAUAUUGGAUCGCUCAGGGAUUUGUAGAAGAUGAGGCUUUGGUGGCUAACAAUAAAGAAGAAGUGGCAUGGCAAAAGUUGCAGGAUCUUAUUGAUAGAAAUUUAAUUUUGGUGGAAGAAAGAGGAUGGUGUGGAAGAAUAAGGACGUGUAAGAUUCAUGACCUUACACAUGAGAUGUGCUUGAGACUAGCUAAAGGUAAAAAUAUAUUGCAUGUUAUUGAUGACAAGUUUCAAAUUGGAUCGUCCUCCAAAGGAAUAAGUCAAGAAAAUAGCAAUUACAAGUUUCAAGUUGGACAAUCCUCCAAAGAAAAUGGCAAUUUUUGGGUAAGCCUACACCUACAAUCAGUUUCUAAUAUUAAUCGUUUAGGUUUUGAGCAUAGGACACUCCAGAAAUGUCAUUCCUUUCUUGCUAUGUUUCCAUCUAAAUAUAUAGGCAGUUGGCGUGAAGGAAGUCCGAUCCUUAGCAAUUACUUGUUCACAGCAACAUCAAUUCAAGUACUUGACCUCUUUCAAAUUUGUUUUCCCAAUUUUCCUUCAUCUCUUUGGAUAAAUAACUUAAGUCAGUUGAGGUAUCUAGCUUUGUACAUUCGUACAUUGCGUGGUUCCUUGUCGAUUUUAAGCAGCUUGAAAAAUCUACAAACUUUGAUUUUGCGUAGUGCAAUUUCUGUUGUAGUAUACUCAACCCUUCCAAAGACACCACAAUUAAUGGAGCUUUGCAUUCUGAAUCGAUCAAUUCAUUUUAAAAAUAAAGAAGAGAAUUUGAAAUUGGAGAAUCUGACAAGGCUUUUCUGGUUAAGUGACUUAUGUUGCAACAAUGGAGCGUUGAUGGUGAGGAUUCCGAAUAUAAAGAAAUUGGGGGUAAGAUAUGAAGAGCCCAAGGGCGGAUACAAUAUGCAUCCUAUUAACUUGCUCAAUAGUUUAAGCCAUUUGGAACAACUCGAAGACAUUGAGUUUGUUGGAUACCAAUUGUCAAAGUACAUUCCAAAACCAUAUGAUUUUCCACCGAAGCUCAAGGAGUUGAAAUUUACUGACACUUGGAUGAAAUGGGGGUGCACGAUGACCAUCCUUGGAAGGCUACCUAACCUCGAAGUUCUCCAACUAAAACGGUAUGCCUUUGAUAAUUCAGAGACCGAGUGGGAACAAGUUGAAGAGGGGUUUCCAAAAUUGAAAGUGUUAGUCUUCCAAGAUCAAAUGCUUUGUAGAUGGAAAGACAGCGAUUUCACUUUCCCAAGCCUUGAGUGCCUGGUGCUAAAGAAUUCCCCUCUCUUGGAAUCACUCCCUUACGAGAGCCUUUCUGGAUGUCCAUCCCUUAAGCUAAUUCACUUGGAAUGGCUUUGUAGUGAUGGUGUUUUAGAGUCUGCAAAGAAAAUUCAAAAUGAUGGAGAUGGCCAGCUCGAGGUCCGCGAAGAAAAUAUUCAUAUGAUGAGUUAGUUUCUUGAUAUGUGAGUGCAACCGGAUACCACUAGACCACAAGGUCUCGGCAGAUUGAAGAGAGUGGAAACAACAAGCUGAGCAUCACAUCACAUGUUCUUCUACCACUUUGAAGGUAGCUUUGAUGACUCACCAUCAAAUCAACCGAAGCACUCACCCAUACAUACCUCUUAGCUUCGAUCCCCAGCCACCUACUCUCCCAAAACAAAUCCUAAGCUCUGUAAAUUUUGUUGUGAUUUAAGGUUAGAAAAUUUACAUCUUUGUUUUGGUUUUGCAUUGCGUGUUACUUUUCCUUUUCUCUUAGCAAAUUGUGAUUUAAUUUUGAGCUGAGAAAUUCUUCCCUUGAAAGGUGGGAGUGCUUCGGGAUAAGUAAAGGGACCGUCUUAGUUUUAUUUUGAUGAUUCAUGAUUGUUGCUUUUAUGCAAGUUUUAUGUGGUGAUUUUGUAUGGAUUGUUGAGUAUUGAAUCACAAAUGGUAUUAUUAUUAUUUGAUAAAAUUUAA